GUGCUUGCUUCGGCAGCAUGUAUACUAAAAUUGGAACGAUACAGAGAAGAUUAUCGUGGCCCCUGCACAAGAUGACACGCGAAUUUGUGAAGUAUUACGUAUUUUA
This 106-nucleotide small nuclear RNA is filed under the name Buteo japonicus. The record is from RNAcentral. Lineage: Eukaryota; Metazoa; Chordata; Aves; Accipitriformes; Accipitridae.